GCGCCCGUGAUGGAACUGGCAGACAUGCACGGCUUAGGACCGUGUGCCGAAAGGCUUGGAGGUUCGAAUCCUCCCGGGCGCACCA
This 85-nucleotide transfer RNA is filed under the name Candidatus Azambacteria bacterium RIFOXYD1_FULL_44_10. RNAcentral describes it as "tRNA-Leu". It matches the Rfam family "tRNA". Rfam says of the family: Transfer RNA (tRNA) molecules are approximately 80 nucleotides in length. Their secondary structure includes four short double-helical elements and three loops (D, anti-codon, and T loops). Lineage: Bacteria; Candidatus Azamiibacteriota. The record is from RNAcentral.